Pantherophis guttatus is the source of this 329-nucleotide non-coding RNA. NCBI's taxonomy places the organism in Eukaryota, Metazoa, Chordata, Lepidosauria, Squamata, Colubridae. The record is from RefSeq and is a predicted model, not a curated record.
GCUGGAUGUGCUUUGUCAGUAGCAAGAGAAAGGAAACAGUGAAGGUCAGCUGGGGACAAUGUAGGAAUGGCAGCGAUAGGCUGUGGCAAUGGAGUGAAAGUUGGCCAAAGGACAGACAUGGCAAGGAGACAGGCAGAGGUUGUCAGAAAGCAUGUGACUGAACCAGGCCUAUCAACUGGGCCUGGCUAGGAGGGACAAGCAGCCAGUGAUAGAACUGUAUAAAAUAUGCUGAGAUCUGUAACUGGGUGUGGAUUUCUGUUGCUGUGCCAAGCCGAAGUCUCACCACCUCUUUGCAAACAGCUUUUCCAAUAAAUCUCACUUCUGGUUGA